GUUAUUUUGGCAGAAUAGUGCAAUGGAUUUAGAAUCUUUAUAUGUAAUGUUAAUUACAAAUAACA
This 65-nucleotide transfer RNA is filed under the name Coleoptera sp. 23 KM-2017. RNAcentral's name for it is "tRNA-Leu". It matches the Rfam family "tRNA". Rfam says of the family: Transfer RNA (tRNA) molecules are approximately 80 nucleotides in length. Their secondary structure includes four short double-helical elements and three loops (D, anti-codon, and T loops). Lineage: Eukaryota; Metazoa; Arthropoda; Insecta; Coleoptera. The record is from RNAcentral.